This 2236-nucleotide long non-coding RNA is filed under the name Homo sapiens (human). RNAcentral describes it as "HSALNT0393474". Lineage: Eukaryota; Metazoa; Chordata; Mammalia; Primates; Hominidae. The record is from RNAcentral.
CCAAGGAAACAAUCAACAGAGUGAAAAGACAAUCUACAGGAUGGGAGAAAAUAUUUGCAAACCAUACCUCUGGAGAUUUGGAUAUUAAGGGUUUACAUCCAAAAACCCCUUACACAUUUGGAUAUUAAGGGGUUAAUAUCCAAAAUAUACGUUUUACAGUGUCUAAAUCAUGUUUAGGCAACUGGAUAUCUACAUGCAAAAGAAUAAAGUUAGAUAAGAAGAAUAAACUUAAGAGAUCUAUCAUACAACAUGGUGACUAUAGUUAAUAACAAUGUAUUAUAUUCUUGAAAAUUGCUAGGAAAGUAGAUUUUAAGUGUUCUCAUCACAAAAAAAUAAGUAUGCGCAGUAAUGCACACAUUAAUUAGGUAGACUUAACCAUUAAACAAUGUGGAAAUGGUGUUUGGGCAACUGGAUAUUUACAUGCAAAGGAAUAAAGUUAGACCCUCAUCUCAUACCAUAUACAAUAAUUAACUAUGUUUUAGAAUAACAUGUUAUACAUGAUAAACAGUUUUUAUGUCAAUUAAAAUAAAUUUUUUAAAAGAGUUAGGGUCAUAAUCUAUGCUAAUUCUCUUGAAUUCAUUCAGAUGUUUAACUUCAUGGUUACUGGCAUUUCUGGGAAUAAUUAUAAUAGAGAAAUGGUCUUGUUAAAAAUUUUAUAUCAAGAAUAUUAACAAAAAACUCUGUUAUUGAUAUACCAAGAAGUAAGUAGACUGCAUGUCUAUUGAAAAUUUCUGUGCAACUUCAUUCUACAGAACCCUCAUUACAUUUGCAACCACCGACCCUUUAUUUCUUUUAUUGAGUGGAGAUUCGAUGCCUUGGUGUCCAGUUGUUUCUGUUGCUGGGACUCUACAAAAUUAUUUUUGUCCCUUCCAUAGUCACAUGAUUCUUCUUCAGGAAAACACAACAUUAUCUUAAGGGUUAGAGUAUUUAUUUCAUAUAUGCUCUUUAUAUCAGAUUCCAUUACUCUAAUAUGAACAUCAAUAGCUGAUUUUUAGCAAAGAUGAUUUUUAUCUUUUAUCAGGUUUAUACUCCUUAACUAACAUGUUGUAAGCAUUUUAUAUGCCAGGCACUAGUGUUAAGCAUCUCUCCAUGGAAUAUUUCAUGUACUUCUCCCUUUAUUUCUAUGAUGCAGGUUUUAGUAACCUCAUUUUCAGCUGAGGAAACUGAGACCCACAAGGAUGAAGUCUCCUGCCUAAGGCUCACAAGUAAAAAGUGGCAAAGCUGGAACUGGAACCCAGGUUUCCUGGGAAUUGGAUGCUGAGAUGAAAAGCAUAUGAGUAGCUUUCUUCCAGCAUUCUUCUUGGUGAUUAACCAACUAUCCAAGUACAAAGUUGCUCCUAAUUAACCCUGAGGACCCCAAUAUAAAGUUGCAAAUGAAAGAAGUCCUGCUACUCUAAAGAAUAACUAAACCAGACUGGAGUCACUGAAACUGAUGGAAGAACAUCUCAGGCAUGAGUGCCAUGGUGACGUCAUCAGCUCCGUUCACAACCACUCACCAUGAGGCCAUUGCUCCUGUGGAGGACACUGGCUUAGGACUCAUGAAGUAGUACCUCAGGAAGGUGUCUCUGUAAGUGUUCCUUCCACCAGCUCCAAGACACAAUGAGAUGGAGAGAACUGGAACAAUUCCCUAUGAUUGCAGCUGGAUAUUUUCACAUGAACUAUCUAGUAAUGAAGGCAAUGGCAUGUGGUGUGGCAAAGACUGGCCCCAGAUUACAUUUCCAGUCCUUUUGUACUGAGGAGGGGCUUUGGGACCAAGACAGUAGGAGUGAGGGUACAGGUUCCACAUUCUAUUUCUCUCUUAGUUUUCUGUGGUUAUCUUGGUGACUGCAUGGUAAAGAUGGAGGUGACAAAAGAUGGAAGGAGCCUGGAUCCCUGAAUGACUUCAUGGUGCAGAGCCUUACACUACCCCCAACUCAUACUAAAACAGGGGUGGGAGGAACAAUAGACCAUUAUUCUGUUAAGGUGCUGAAAUUGUAGAGCUGUUAAUUUGAACAGUUAGAGUUUCUUAUACUGAUACAGUAUCCUUACCCUGGAUUGUUGAAAUAAUUAGUCCAAAUAGUUUCUUUGCCUAAAACUGUGGACAGAGCCUAAGCAAUAUUGAAUCCAAGACAAGGUAUAUUUAUCAUCAAAUGCUACUCACUAUACAAUACAGAUGAAUGUGGCACUUACUUCCCGUGUUGUUACCCAGCCUGCUUCUAGUAUUCUUUACACAAAAUAACAUUCAUGAGCAACCUGG